GAGUUUGAUCAUGGCUCAGAGCGAACGCUGGCGGCAGGCCUAAUACAUGCAAGUCGAACGGAUCCUUCGGGAUUAGUGGCGGACGGGUGAGUAACACGUGGGAACGUGCCUUUUGGUUCGGAACAACUCAGGGAAACUUGAGCUAAUACCGAAUGUGCCCUUCGGGGGAAAGAUUUAUCGCCAUUAGAGCGGCCCGCGUCUGAUUAGCUAGUUGGUGGGGUAAAGGCCCACCAAGGCUACGAUCAGUAGCUGGUCUGAGAGGAUGAUCAGCCACACUGGGACUGAGACACGGCCCAGACUCCUACGGGAGGCAGCAGUAGGGAAUCUUGCGCAAUGGGCGAAAGCCUGACGCAGCCAUGCCGCGUGAAUGAUGAAGGUCUUAGGAUUGUAAAAUUCUUUCAGCAGGGACGAUAAUGACGGUACCCGCAGAAGAAGCCCGGCUAACUUCGUGCCAGCCGCCGCAGUAAC
This 468-nucleotide ribosomal RNA is filed under the name uncultured bacterium. RNAcentral describes it as "bacterial SSU rRNA". It matches the Rfam family "Bacterial small subunit ribosomal RNA", at positions 9 to 524 of the family's 1533-position model. The record is from RNAcentral.